AGUGACGUCAAAUCAUCAUGCCCUUACGUCCUGGCGACACACGUACUACAAUGCGAGGGACAGAGAGCAGCCAACCCGCGAGGGAGAGCGAACCUCUUAAACCCUGGCACAGUUCAGAUUGCAGGCUGCAACUCGCCUGCAUGAAGGAGGAAUCGCUAGUAAUCGCAGGUCAGCAUACUGCGGUGAAUCCGUUCCCGGGCCUU
RNAcentral lists this ribosomal RNA (203 nucleotides) under uncultured Planktothrix sp. RNAcentral describes it as "partial 16S ribosomal RNA". It matches the Rfam family "Bacterial small subunit ribosomal RNA", at positions 1178 to 1382 of the family's 1533-position model. Lineage: Bacteria; Bacillati; Cyanobacteriota; Cyanophyceae; Oscillatoriales; Microcoleaceae. The record is from RNAcentral.